GAUGAACGCUAGCGGCAGGCCUAAUACAUGCAAGUCGGACGGGAUUCAGGAGCUUGCUUCUGAUGAGAGUGGCGCACGGGUGCGUAGCACGUAUGUAACCUACCUUUAUCAGGGGGAUAGCCUCUCGAAAGAGAGAUUAAGCCCGCAUAAAAUCACAGCACAGCAUUGUGUAAUGAUCAAAUAUUUAUAGGAUAAAGAUGGGCAUGCGGAACAUUAGCUAGAUGGCGGGGUAACGGCCCACCAUGGCGACGAUGUUUAGGGGAUCUGAGAGGAUGGCCCCCCACACUGGUACUGAGACACGGACCAGACUCCUACGGGAGGCAGCAGUAAGGAAUAUUGGUCAAUGGGCGGAAGCCUGAACCAGCCAUGCCGCGUGCAGGAAGACGGCCCUACGGGUUGUAAACUGCUUUUAUACGGGAAUAAACCCAGAUACGUGUAUCUGGCUGAAUGUACUGUAAGAAUAAGGAUCGGCUAACUCCGUG
Molecule: ribosomal RNA, 482 nt
Filed under: uncultured bacterium
Lineage: Bacteria
Description: partial 16S ribosomal RNA
Rfam family: Bacterial small subunit ribosomal RNA
Source: RNAcentral